AGUUUCCCAUUCCCAAGUUUCCAUCCCCAUUCCCAGUUCCUGUUCCCAAUUCUCCAUUCCCACAUUUCCAUCCCCAUUCCCAGUUCCCAUUCCCAUUCCCAUUUCCAUUCCCACUUUCCCAUUGCCACUUUCCCAUACCCAUUCCCAGUUUUCCAUCCCCACCUUUCCAUCCCCAUUCCCAGUUUUUCAUCCCCAUCCCCACUCCCCGUCCCCAUUCCCAAUUCCCCAUUCCCACAUUUCCCUCCCCAUUCCCAAUUCCCCAUUCCCACAUCCCCAAUCCCAUCCCCAUUCCCAGUUCCCAUUCCCAAUUCCCCAUUCCCAGUUUUCCAUUCCCAUCCCCAUUCCCAGUCCCCAUUCCCAAUUCCCCAUUCCCACAUUUCCAUCCCCAUUCCCAGUUCCCAUUCCCAAUUCCCCAUUCCCAGCUUACCAUCCCCAUCCCCAUUCCCAGUUUCCCAUUCCCAAGUUUCCAUCCCCAUUCCCAUCCCCAUUCCCAAUUCCCCAUUCCCAAUUCCCCAUUCCCACCUUUCCCUCCCCAUUCCCAAUUCCCCAUUCCCACAUUUCCAUCCCAAAUCCCAUCCCCAUUCCCAUCCCCAUUCCCAGUUUUCCAUCCCCAUCCCCAUUCCCAGUCCCCAUUCCCAAUUCCCCAUUCCCACAUUUCCAUCCCCAUUUCCCGCAGGCAUUCCGGGUGCUGCCGGAGCCGGGCUUGGCGCCAUUGCCAGACCCGCAGGACCCCCAGCAUUCCCAGGACCCCNAUGGGAAUAACGGGAAUAACGGGGAUAACGGGGAUGGGAAUGGUGGGAAUGGGGAUGGGAAUGGGGGAAUGGGAAUGGGGAUGGGAAUGGGAAUGGGAAUGGGAAUGGUGAGAGUGGGAAAUGGGAAUGGGAAUGGGGCUGGGAAUGGUGAGAGUGGGGAAUGGGGAUGGGAAAUGGGGAAUGGGAAUGGUGGGAAUGGGAAUGGGAAUGGUGAGAGUGGGAAAUGGGAAUGGGGAAUGGGAAUGGUGGGAAUGGGAAUGGGGAUGGUGGGAAUGGGAAUGGGGGAAUGGGAAUGGGAAUGGUGGGAAUGGGGAGAAUGGGAAUGGGAAAUGGGAGUGGGAAUGGGAAAUGGGAAUGGGAGUGGGAAUGGUGGGAAUGGGGAAUGGGAAUGGUGGGAAUGGUGGGAAUGGGAAUGGUGGGAAUGGGAAUGGGAAUGGUGGGAAUGGGGAAUGGGAAUGGGAACGGGGAUGGGAGUGGGAAUGGGAAUGGUGGGAAUGGGGAUGAGGAUGGGAAUGAUGGGAAUGGGAGUGGGAAUGGGAGUGGGAAUGGGAAUGGGAAUGGGAAUGGUGGGAAUGGGAAUGGUGGGAAUGGUGGGAAUGGGAAUGGUGGGAAUGGGAACAGCAAUGGGAAAUUGGGAUGGAAAAGUGGGAAUGGGGAAUGAAGGGAAUGGGGAUGGGAAACGGGAGUGGGCGAAUUCCAGGAAUUCUGGGAAUGAAGGAACAGGGGGUGUGGGAAUUGUGAGAAGGGUGGGAAUUGUGGGAAUGGGGAAAUGUGGGAAUGAGGGAAUGCUGGGAAUGGCAGGAGAAAUCCCUGCCCAGGAUUCCAUGGCAUUCCCUCUUGGGAUUCUUCCCUGGAAUUCCUUCCUGGGUUUUUUUUUCCUGGGAUUCCACCUUGGGAUGUGCAUCCCCCAGUCCAGGAAUCCUGGGAUCUCCA
Molecule: long non-coding RNA, 1685 nt
Organism: Zonotrichia albicollis (white-throated sparrow)
Lineage: Eukaryota; Metazoa; Chordata; Aves; Passeriformes; Passerellidae
Source: Ensembl